Molecule: transfer RNA, 93 nt
Filed under: Desulfobacteraceae bacterium
Lineage: Bacteria; Pseudomonadati; Thermodesulfobacteriota; Desulfobacteria; Desulfobacterales; Desulfobacteraceae
Description: tRNA-Ser
Rfam family: tRNA
About the family: Transfer RNA (tRNA) molecules are approximately 80 nucleotides in length.
Source: RNAcentral
GGAGAAGUGACCGAGCCGGCUGAAGGUGCUCGCCUGCUAAGCGAGUGCACGGGGAAACUUGUGCCGAGGGUUCGAAUCCCUCCUUCUCCGCCA